This 499-nucleotide ribosomal RNA is filed under the name uncultured bacterium. Its description in RNAcentral is "partial 16S ribosomal RNA". It matches the Rfam family "Bacterial small subunit ribosomal RNA", at positions 28 to 507 of the family's 1533-position model. The record is from RNAcentral.
GAUGAACGCUGGCGGCGUGCCUAAUACAUGCAAGUCGAGCGAACAGACGAGAGUGCUUGCACUCUCUGACGUUAGCGGCGGACGGGUGAGUAACACGUGGGUAACCUACCUAUAAGACUGGGAUAACUUCGGGAAACCGGAGCUAAUACCGGAUAAUAUUUAGCUUCGCAUGAAGCAAUAGUGAAAGACGGUUCUGCUGUCACUUAUAGAUGGACCCGCGGUGUAUUAGCUAGUUGGUGAGGUAACGGCUCACCAAGGCAACGAUACAUAGCCGACCUGAGAGAGUGAUCGGCCACACUGGGACUGAGACACGGCCCGGACUCCUACGGGAGGCAGCAGUAGGGAAUCUUCCGCAAUGGACGAAAGUCUGACGGAGCAAUGCCGCGUGAGUGAAGAAGGUUUUCGGAUCGUAAAACUCUGUUGUAAGGGAAGAACAAGUACGUUAGUAACUGAACGUACCUUGACGGUACCUUACCAGAAAGCCACGGCUAACUACGUG